UGAACGCUGGCGGCAUGCCUUACACAUGCAAGUCGAACGGCAGCACGGGUGCUUGCACCUGGUGGCGAGUGGCGAACGGGUGAGUAAUACAUCGGAACAUGUCCUGUAGUGGGGGAUAGCCCGGCGAAAGCCGGAUUAAUACCGCAUACGAUCCACGGAUGAAAGCGGGGGACCUUCGGGCCUCGCGCUAUAGGGUUGGCCGAUGGCUGAUUAGCUAGUUGGUGGGGUAAAGGCCUACCAAGGCGACGAUCAGUAGCUGGUCUGAGAGGACGACCAGCCACACUGGGACUGAGACACGGCCCAGACUCCUACGGGAGGCAGCAGUGGGGAAUUUUGGACAAUGGGCGAAAGCCUGAUCCAGCAAUGCCGCGUGUGUGAAGAAGGCCUUCGGGUUGUAAAGCACUUUUGUCCGGAAAGAAAUCCUUGACUCUAAUACAGUCGGGGGAUGACGGUACCGGAAGAAUAAGCACCGGCUAACUACGUG
RNAcentral lists this ribosomal RNA (484 nucleotides) under uncultured bacterium. RNAcentral's name for it is "partial 16S ribosomal RNA". It matches the Rfam family "Bacterial small subunit ribosomal RNA", at positions 30 to 507 of the family's 1533-position model. The record is from RNAcentral.